Molecule: long non-coding RNA, 10241 nt
Organism: Malaclemys terrapin pileata
Lineage: Eukaryota; Metazoa; Chordata; Testudines; Emydidae
Exons: 3
Source: RefSeq, a predicted model, not a curated record
GUGCCUGAGCCCCCAACCGGGUGGUCGAGGUGAGCGGGGGAAGAUGGCGGAGUGAGAGGAGGAGGCUGAGGGGAGAGGGCCGGCCGCGGCCCGGCGGCCUCGGCCAGGGGCAGGUAAACGGAGCGGGGAACGACUGCUUGAGGAGCGAGACUGAGCCUGGCUAGCGGCGGGACCUCACCGCUCCCUGCUUGGGCUGGGCCCGGUCAGGUUCACUUGUAUUCCAUUUUGAGUGCAAAUCAGCAAACUGAAAAGGAAGGGCUCUUGGUGGAAAAUGAUGGCAUAUGUGGCCAUGAAGUUAAGGGCCUGUUCCUGGCAUCCCAGAAGAAGUUACUCUGUUCCUUUUGCUUAGAAACUGAUCAUAGACAGUGAAUGGUGGAUGCUCCACUACUGGUGAAGAAAAGUCUUUUCCUUAUCUCCAUGGCGUGUAAUGAGGAAAUAUUCUUCUCUUUAUGUUUCAACUUCUUAAACCAACAUUUGAAGUAUGGAGCCUGCACCAGCUGGCUUCCCCCAUAGGAGCACACAGCAAGCAUUUUACCAACCCUUACAAGCGAGCAACUGAAAUCAAUGUUUGAUAUGUCCCUGAAGUGAUGUCUUCAGAGUUUUUGAGCUCUGUUUUUGCACCCUAGAGAAGAUUUUUACAAGCAUGCUCACACAGAAACCAGUCUCCUUUCUGUAUCUUAGCAGGGUAACUUCUUCUCCAACUGUGUCCAAGUAAAUGGAUAAUGCAUCUGCAUGUGAUGCUGUGCCAAGCUAUUUCAACAUGUGUGAAAGGUUGCAGCAAGAAUACAUUUCCACCCUGAAACGAGGAACAAACUUAAAAAAAAAAAAAAAACCCACAAUCCUGAAAAAUCCCCAUAACGAAGAUGUCCUAAUCCAGAACAAAGAACUGACUUUGUAGAUAAAUGUCUCAAUGUCACCUCGUGAAGCAGCUAAUGCACAAAAACAAAUACAGAAUUACCUUGUCCAUCAUGGAUGAAUGAAUCAUCACAUUCUGUGAUCAAAAGCAUUUGCAUGUGUAAAUCCACAUAACUAGUGAAUGUGAAGAGCUUUCACCAGGAAAAGAAGUUGCUCUGCACUGUCUCUUUUUGUAGCAAACCCCUUCCCUAAGAAGGUGAAUCUUUGAGAACCUCCUAGUGCUAAAGUUAAUCCUAUAGUGUUGGGUUUACAUUGUAUCUCCAGUCUUCUCCAGCAGCUUUAGCAGCAAAAGGAACAAAAAAACUCUGUGAUCCAAGAGAUGGGACAGAACUUCAUCUUUUUAAUAAAGGAACUGGCCUCUGGUGGGAUGGGAGAGGCUACAAGUAUAAUGUUCCAACUCAUCCCCUCAGCGUCCUGAGUGCAGUUUAUAACUUCAUACUGCUGAUGGAGUUGGUUUUUAACUCUCCUUUGGCUACUGGAGAACUGGGAUGAGUACUCUUCCAGGGUGUAGAUGGGAGGUCUGAUAGAGAAACCAGUUCAGAGAGAGCAGAAAUGCUGAAGGAAGUAUGCUCUUUUUCUGGCUCCCCCUGUAUCUCCAUCCCAAACUAAGGAGGAGAUCAUGGUUCUUACGUGUUUACACCAGAUUCUUUGUCUCCAUCACUUGUGACUUAUACGGGAUGUUUUCCUUCCGUUUUAGAUGGAAGCUUUAUGUUUAGUUGCUCCCUGCAGUGGUAGUCUGUAUGGUCAAUGAGGUUUCUUGGUGGAAAGGCCAUAAUUGGUUUGUGUUUUCUUCCACUUGAACCUGGACCUCUUCAUAGUGCACCUUAUUCCAAGCUUGUGUUAAUGUGAAUUUAGCAAAUGUGAUUUGCUGAUUUAAAAUAAUACAAUUUCAAAUCUGGAUCAAAAAAGGGGUAUAGGCUCUGUUUAAAUUAUUUUUUGUUUUCUUUUAGAAAACCACUGGAGAGAGCCAGGCAGCCUAAAAAUGGCUUUAAAAAAAAAAAAAAAAAAAAAAAACCCACGAAAUUCUACUUAGCUCCUGGUGACAAGUAGCAAGAGCAACAUUUUAAGACUGGUAGAGAAGGGAAGGGGUUAUAUAAGGAUGGGGAAGAGAGAAUCUCUAAAGAAACUUUUUCUUAUAUCUGUGUAAUCUAUCGUAGUGGAAGUUGAAGGAGAACAAAUUCUGGAGUUGAACAAACCCAUGCACUGGCUUUGGUCCCGCUCUUCCCUCCUGGGAAUAAAGUUGUGAAGAGCCACAGUGAACUUGUGAUGUGACAAUAAGGUUUAAUUACAUCUUUUCCUGUUUUGUGCUCUCUUGGAGAGAAAAUCAGUCUCAUUGGGUAGGGAAUGUUGAGCUGUACAUUUUGUGCUGAAAAUAACACAAGAUAUAAUGGCAUCAGAAUAUAAAAAGCACCAAUACAGCACAGUCAGCUGUGUUUAUCUGUUCACUUGGAGAAAUGAUUAUAUUCGUCAUGGGUAGGCAGUUGGGCUGAUUUCCUUUCAAUAUAGUGCAGUCCCUUGCCAAACAGAAUUCGGAUUUUUGAGUGUUAAAGACAACUGGAAAAAUAUGUUCCCUUUUAGGGCCUCUUACUGAAGUCAAUGUGAUUUUUGAAUUUAUUUAAGUAGAGGCAGGCUCAGACCGUUAGUGAGGAAAAUAUCUGCUGUCAAUGUCACAGGUUUAAAUGUGAUUAGAAGGCAUCCAUUAUGGCAAAUAUGUCGUCUUAAGCCUGGUGAUUCUUCUUUUCACCUUCCUGACCCCUAUUUGUCCUCCUUCUGACUUAACCACUUGCAGCUGUUUCUAGCACAGCUUGAUAGAAAAUUUGAUAUUGUUUUCCAUAUAUUGUAAAAGGCAGAGAAUGGAUUCUGGAGAAGGUGGAUACACUUUAGCCCACUUUGCCACAUGAUAGGAAUAAUUGUCUCCAAGCUCUGCCUGAUAACAAGAAAUGGAAACAAAUGUUGACUUUCCCUGCCUGCCCCCUAACAUGUAACCACUUGAUUAAAUUUUAAGAUAAAAUUAUAAUAGGGCUAAUGUUCUGUGGCUGUCACAGGAUGCAGUUGUGCAUGCCCAAAAGACCCCACUGCAGUAUGCUUCCUGCCAGCUUCUUUAUGAAACUGCUGUGCCAGGCAAUACUGCCUCAGCCUUUAGACUUUACUCUUUGCUCCGCUUCUGUUUCUCCAUGUUGGUUGGAAAUCUUCCCGUAUGAAAGGUUAAACAAAUAAAUAAGGGGCAUGUGCAAUAGAUAUAUAUAUAUACAUAUAUAUAUUUUAAUACUUGUGGACAAAAUGAUGUUACAAGUUGUUUGAAAACAACAAAAUCACCAAUGUCUUCCAUUUUGAGAUGUGUAUAGUUCCAUAAGCAUUAGUGCUUCGUAGCAAACUGUAGUGCCAUGUUAGGAUCAGUGCAUGAGCCUAGUAGUAUUUUUACAAUUUCAGAGUGGCAAAUUAUUAAUGACAAUAAUAAACAAUAAUGUAACUAACAGUAGAAAGCAGACAGUAACAGAUGUUAUGAACGUGGUCUAAAGAUGCAGUAUCCUUCUUAGGCAGUCGUAGUGACAAGGUUAUCUUUGGAACCAGAAUUUAUUAAAUUGAUGGGCUUUGUGGAAUAAUAGCUGACUUUUUUGUAUUGUUUUUGGUAAAGUCUGUCUAGGCUAAACAGUAGACUGUGAGCAUCCAGACUAAUCCUCUCUUCGUCCAUAUAAGGUGAACUGCAAGACAAAUCCAGGACACACACCAAAUUGACAGUGGCAUUUGUUUCCUUUUAGUGUUAAUGAAACACCCUAAACUGUUCUUGCAGAUUCUAUCUUCAUGUAGACUGUUUCAUUACUACCCAUCCCUUCCAUCAUACAGAAGCUGAUGAAGAGCCACUGUACGUGUUUUAUAGGCAACUCUGCUGCCUUCUCAUAUGGGUAUAAUUAAUGAGCUCUGUUAACUAUUGAGCAGAGUAACAUUUUGCAGAAAUAACUCUGUUUAAAAAAUAUGAUACUAAUGUUAAUCUUAAUUAGUAAGACUAGUUAAAUCAUUACAUUCAAAUUGCUGUCUAAGUUUUUUGUCAGUUUUGUACACUUAGAAUCCUAAAUUAUAGAUUGACCCUUCCAAUACUUUUCCCAGCUAUCUGAUUUCUUUUUUAACUGCGUGGCAAUUUUCUCUCUUUCUCUCUCCUCCCUCCUCCCUCCUCUCCCCCCCCCCCCCCCCCCCCCCCCACACACACACACACACACACACAACGCCUCUCCCUCUACUUUCUGAGAAUGGAAAGCUGAGCUAGGUGAAAUCCAAAUGGUUUAUCACUAAGGAUAAGUUUUUUGUCGUGGAAGUCAUAGAUUCUGUGACUUUCAGAGACCUCUGUGACAUUUUCCCUUCAGCUUCAGCCCUGUGCCUGGGGUGGUGGGUCCAGAGCUGUCAGCUGGCGGGGGCUCUGAGCCGCUGCGGGUGCAGGGGCCCCACUGCCGUCAGCCACUGCAGGCGGUGGGGGUCCCGUAUCUCUGAGCCACUGGCCUUGGAGCUCUGAGCCAUUGAGAGCAGAGGGGACCUGUAGCUGUCAGCUGCUGUGGACAGUGGGGACCCCAGAGCUCUCAGUCACUGGCACUGGAGCCAUCAGCAGCUGCAGGGGCCUUGAAGCUGUCAACCGCAGUGGGUGCUGGAGCUCCCCCCUCCUCCAACUGCAGGGCUUGGGCUUCAGUCGUCUCCUGGUCAGUUCCCCCAUCCCCAUUAUUUCAGUAAAAGUCAGAGACAGAUCAUGGGCUUCCCUGAAUUUUUUUUUAUUGCCCGUGACCUGUCCCUGACUUUUACUAAAAAUAACUGUGACAAAAUCUUAACUUUAUUUAUCACUUUCUCAAACAGGCAGUUUAGGCUACUGAAGCAAGAGAUGGAAAUGACUCCCAACCCAGGUUUGCAACAAUCUGUGUAUCAUAUCUAUCCGAUUUCCUGGAAUAGCUUUUUAAUUUCUGUCACUAUUGUUUUUCACCCACCUCUGUUUUAAAAAUAACAGGCUGCUGUCAGCUAAGAGAGGAUACUGCAUCUUUUCUUGAGACCUGCCUGUAAAUGGCCACCUGGGAAAAAUGGGUAGCUUGGGUUUCUGAGUUGAUCUAGAUUAAUUAAAUGGGCAAAAUGUAUUGAGAUACAAAACCAGUGAUUCUUGCAGAGUUAAUUAUGUAAUAAAAAACAGAGUCUCUGCAUAUUCCGUCUCUCCAUGUAUAUUGGGCAGGUGGGCUGUUUACAGUAGAGCUCUGGGGAACUGUGCUCAAAGCUAGUUCAGUUCUGAACAAAAGUAGCUAUACCAUUGAAUCAAGUAGUUUAGUGCUUGGGGGAAUCAAUUGAUAAAAAAUACCUCUGAAACUGGAAUGCAAAAUAGCACAGUAUGUAGGGGGAAAUAUCCCUGAUGCAAACAAAGCCAUAAAAAGAUUUAAUAAAACUAGAAUUUUAGUAGCAAUAACUGUUUUGCAUGUAAUAGUAACUAACUUGCAUUACCAAGAUUGUACAGUAGAAUAAGUGGUAAUAACCAAAUAAGUUUGUGGUCUGUGCUGCAGGGAGUUGCAUGAAGAGAACAGUGUCUCUUUUUAAGAAGAUGGAAGAAUUCCUUUUACUGUUCCCCUCUUUUGAGGGAAUAUGGCGCUUGAAUACCAUGGUGAUGAGCCAGUGAUGAGUAUAAAACCUGGGUAACUAUAGGUCAUGCGUCAGAAUUGGUGCAUAUAGGGGAAGACUGGGCAGUUGUGUAUGAGUGACUGGUUUCCCUGUUGUUUGUUUUGUAGUGUAGCAUGUGCAGUGCCUCUGAGAGGAAAGUGCUGAGAUAUGAAGAAGACCCAUUUCCCACAGUUGGAAAGCUUUUAUUCAAACUUUUAUUGGAGAGAGGAGUUUUUGUUUUUUGUAAAAAGAAACUAAGUAGAGCUGUGACAGGUCCUGAAAAGAAAGUAUUGCAAAAUGUUGACAACCCAAAUGUUUCUUCUGCAGGGACAGAAUUGCAGGAUUUAUUUAUUUCAAAAGACUAUCCUACUUCCUCUUUUAAAAUUUUAAGUACAAACUGGCCAUAUGCUUCCAUUUAAGAUUAAAACUGUUUUCUGUUCACCCUUUGAGUUUUGCAAAGCCAAUUGCAGUAGAUUCUCUGGUAAGGCAGAGGAGAAUUGAUCUGCUGCUGCGGUAUUUGUCCCUGGCAACUAUUGGAGGGGCACUCAAAAGAGCCCAUGGAGUUUUAAAAUAUAACCCACAGCUGACCUUGUCUUCAGUACAGAAGUGUAGCCUGCAGAGAAUAUACAGCUCAGCAUGCCAUGUUCUGUCCUGAAUUGAAUUAUUAAACCAAAGUGUGUAUUGAUCCAUGUGGUGGCUUAAUCUCUUUGAUCAGGAUGGGAUAUUGCAUGCUACCAUCUGUAGUGUCUGAGAGUGGCUGAACUUUGCUUCAUUAUUUAGUAAACUUGGUGGGGCCAUUUGUCCCCUGGCAAGUUGAUAACAUGACCCUCUGUUGAGGCAAAAUGUGGGCACCACUAAUAUAAUGUAACCAAGAUGGAUGUAUGGAUAAGUCGUUAAAUGUUGGCAAGUAGGGCAUAUCCAAUAGUAGUCUUGGACAUGAAAACCUGUGAUCUAAAAGAUGGUGAUUUGAAAUAAAUUCCAGCCAUUAAAUUAUUAUUAAAAGAGGAAACAUACCCAGAGAAGACCUUAACUUGAUCAUGUCCUAGACAUACUAGAUGGUAUUAGACCAGCCUUAUACAAUUACGAAAGUCUAAUUGCCAGUCUUUUACCAUGAUAAUGAAAACACUAUCUUGCUCAUAUUUCCAGAAUAUGUACUUUCCUAGCUGAGUAGAGUUUUGCAAGACUGUGUUACACAGUUACAAUGAAAACUUGAAGGCUAUCGGCUUGUUGCUGCCAGUGCAGACUUUCUGGUGUACUAUUCUCCAGGGGUGACUAAAUUUCCAAAGACUGCUCACAGCAGCAAUGUCAGAGAUCCUGCUGCCCUAAGGCCACUGAGCUGUGGUAUGGUUUCUUCCCCUGCCCAAGCCCUUGAUUUCCUUGCUUGCAAAACAAAGCAGAAAGUUCAGAUAAUGUGGUGGUUGUCAAGUAGUGCCAUGCUAAUACUAGGUCUAAGCAGUGCUAAGUCUAGAUCAGAAGUGUGGACUGUGCAGGAACCUGUGGUCUGCUUUCUUGCUCAUUGGUGCUGCUGGAGAAGUUCUAGCCAGUACCUAUGCUGUGAAUUGCAGCUCCUGCUUGAUACAGCUGGCUGUUAAAGACCUUCACAGCACUAAGAAAUCCAUGUGGCAAGUUUUUGGGAAUAGAGAGCUGUGGCAAGCUUCAGGACAACGAUAUUUUAAACAGGACUUCACUACCAGCUCUGCUGUCAAGGUUAUUUUCAGGGUUUUAUGGAAUUACCUCUCCGUAAUAAUGGGAGAACAGAACCUUUUCUGGGGAAGUUUGUCAGUGCUCUUAGAGACCCCUUUUUCCCCUGCAUUGCAGUGACCAUCCUUUCAGCUGUGAAUGGAGUCUAGCUGAGACUUCCUCCCAAGUCCAUUCGUACAGCUUUUUACUUGAGCCAGAGGGCUAUAUGUUGGGCAGUUCAAGGUGUAGCCUUUCCUCCCAAAGGUUCAGCAUGUUGCGUCCACAGUAUGGCCAGGUUAAGGCACCAAGGGCCAACAGUGGUACCUGGGUGUCUCACAUAGUGCAGAAUGCUACCUAUGGACACCCCCCCACACACACGUUUUCCUUCAGUCUGCUUUGCACUUUUUCCUGAAGUUUGACUUCAGAAUAAUGUGUAUACAUACACAGCAUAAAUAAAGGAUAUGUCUGGCACUAAACCUAAGUACCAAGCAGUCACAGUAUACCCAAAUUCUCUAAGGUUUACCUUUUAUCUUUACUGUCAGAUGUUCUAACUUGCUGUAGCAUAUGUCCUGUGUAAAUUCUGUUUUCUCUCAAACUGAAUGUGUGUUUGCAGGGCAACUAAGAGAAUGUUCAUUUUGAAGCCCUAGGCACAAAGAACUGCAUGGACAAAAUGAGGAAGAGUGGCACAGGCCCACAAAUCAAGUCUUAUAGAGCUAGUAUUCUAAUUAUGCAUGAUUCAAAAUGUCUAGUGUUACAUAGUUAUUACCAGUAAAUUCAGAUAUGCAUUUAUUCAUAAUGAAGCAAUAGGAACUAAUAUACCAAUAGCUUGAACUUACUGCUUUGAUUCUCAAAUGUUGUUUUUAGAGAAUGCACUGCCUCUGUAGAGAAAGGGGCAGAUUAUACAGAUAGGGACAGAAGCAUGGCACCAAAACUGCAUAUCAGGAACGAGGAUCAGAACUCGCCUUUUUAACCUCUUGCCUGGUUCACAUUAGUGCCCUGAGCAUGUAAAAAACAGGGCAUGAACUAAGCAUGUUUAGUGGCGAGAUGAGGUUUCUCAGCUGCUGCAAUUGUAGCAAACAGAAAGGUGCAGAGUUUCCCAGGGUGUGGGGAGGGCAACAGGUGAAAUCCAAGUUGGAUAACAUAAAAACUGACUCAUAGUAAACUGAGUGUAGGAUUUGCCUGACAAUAGGUGAAAGUGGUCUUGACCUAGGGAGGUAAAUUCUUUGGAGGGGGUUGAAAUCAAUAAGCACAGUCCACAUAUUUCAGGUGUUGAAUAGCUUUUUAAUAGUAUUUUCAGGUAACUCUUUAGCCUCAUAGGCUGCUGUACUGAAGCAUACUGGUAUGAACCAGCAGUAAUGGCACCCUGUAAGAAUGAACCUGAAAUUUUUGACAAACUUGUGUGUUUAUUUUGUUGAGCUCUGUGACUAAAAUUUUUUAAAAAGUUACAAAAUGAGAUUUGCUCAAUGGGUGUCCUGAGCUCUAGCAACAUAGUGACAAUAUGUUUUGUUCUUAAUUUCACUGAUUAAAAAGAGUGAUUGACAUGAGAGAACUAACGGAAAUCAGGUGCCAUCUAUUUGUUUGCAAACCUUUACUAUGUUUUCUGUAAAGAAUAUUUCUCGAGCCAUUUUGUGGGUGUUUGGGGAAAAUUUCUGCUGAGAAUGUACAAAAAAAAAGUUAUGGUAUCUGUAGCAGAGCACAAGAACUAAUGCUACUUUUCCUAGACUGAAGCAUGUAAACUCAUAGAAACUCUCAGACUGAGACAAGUAGUUUGCGAGAUUCCUUACUUCUAUCUUAUUAUGGCUACAUCUAACUUUGCAGGAGGACCUAGUUUAUAUGAAAAUUCCUGUCAGAAAUUCCCUCCUGUUUCUUUGAAGAAACAAAAUGGGACAAGAGGAAGGGUUUAUGGGUCAAGUUAACACCUGUCUACAUUCUUAGCCAGUGUAAUACAAGCACACCCACACUGCAGGCUUGGUGUGGGGGCCAUAUAUUUUUUUCUCAUUGUUCUUUCUUUAGAUAUACAGUAGUUGCCAAAUGCAAAAGGGAAUAUUAAGGUUUAAUCUGUGAUGACUGUAUUUUAUAGUAUCAGAGUAUGUUUGAAAUUUUUCCUCUGGGCCAACUUCUGUAGGCAAAAAGGAAUGGUUAAAACAUGUUUAACCCUACUGGACAUCCUUCAGGACUACUCUUCAGUUUAAAAUCCUGCAUUAGUAUCCUCCCCCCCCCCCACCACAAAUAAGGACUGGUCUGCACUUAAAAUUCAGGUCAACAUAGUAAGGACACUCAGGGUGUGAAAAAUCUACACCCCUGAAUGUUGCAGCUAUGCUGACAUAAACCCCCUAUGGCUCGGUAGACAGAAGAGUGACAGUAGCUAGGUUAAGAAUUCAAGUUGGUGGAAUUACUACAGUGACAGAAAAAAACUCUUCCAUUGUUGUAAUGUACAUUACAGUUGUGCCACUGUAGUAUUUGUAGUGUAGACAUUGCCUGAGGGGUAAGCAGUUAGUUAUUUACAAACACACACUUAUUUCCCUUCUAAACAAAAAGGAAAUAAAACUUUCUUGUAAAUAAUCUCUGUGAGGAGCAUGGUGAAAGAGCAGAGGAGAAAUGUUGAAGGUGGUCUUCAGCUCCAACAUUGAUGCCUUUUAAAAAAAAAAAAAUAAAUAAAAAAUGUUUUUGUCCUUAAAGUUUGGAAACUAGGUUAGAGAAUACUGAACGUCUAAUAGUAUGAUCACAUUUUUAUUGUACUCAAUAGAUCAUGCACAGGAAAGAUUAGUGAAGGAAUUUAGUGGCAACACUGGAACCUAUUUACUCCAUUGCAUAGUGUGUUUUAUGUGGUUAUACUGAAAAUUUCUCCCUGUAUAUAGCUGAAGUUUUCCAAAAGGCAGCUUGCUUUUAUAUCUAUGCAUCUUUGGGGAUUUGAAGAAAAGACUUUAUUCUUUUGACACUGUAAAGAGGAACUGUUUAAAAAUGAACUUGGAAACUCUGCACCUGUAUACAAUUUUUUUAGCAAUAAAGCAGCACGGGCUGAGAAUGCA